RNAcentral lists this long non-coding RNA (693 nucleotides) under Drosophila guanche. The record is from RNAcentral. Lineage: Eukaryota; Metazoa; Arthropoda; Insecta; Diptera; Drosophilidae.
UCCACUCGAAUUUGCCAUUUUGGCACAUUUUAAGGUCCUUUUUUUUGCUUCCCAAAGUCCAUAUACAUAAAUGGAAUCAUACGAAUGCACUUGAGAUUCUUAAAGGAUUCUCUAAGUCUUUAUGUAAAUUGCAUUCCGUGUGUAUUUGGCACAUCGAUAACAUUAUUAGCAGCAAAUGCCCCCAAAGAUGUCCUGUCCCACUGGUCUUGGCAGUGACUGCUGACCAAUUUUGUCAGCUUUGCCAAUUUGGGGCUACCCUCGUCUUUGGCUUUGGUCCCUCUGCUUUUCUUUUUAGGUAUUUUGUCCAGACGGACAGGGACUGGCACUGGAACUGAAUGGGCUGCCGGGAUUUGGAGUGCGUCCGCUGUCAACAGCAUUUGUUGAACACUUUUUCGGACUCGCUCCCGUCUCCCCACAGUCUUGUCAGUCCUCUCUUUGGGACUUGUGAAGCAUCGGGCUUUGUUAUGCCACGACAAUCGUUGACAGCGGCAAGUUUUUCUUUCGGUCCGCAGUUGGGCGCAGCUGCUUCAAAAUAUAAUAAAUACUCGUAAACAAACAUAAUUUAUAAGUAGCAGAUUUUUUACGUCUGUGUUGGCACAAAUACUCAAGCACACCCGAUCCUUGUCAUGUAAGUUUGUUUUUGUCUUUUCCACAGAGUACUCGUGGACCACAGUGCAGUCCAAUUAGACGGAC